This 478-nucleotide ribosomal RNA is filed under the name uncultured bacterium. Its description in RNAcentral is "partial 16S ribosomal RNA". It matches the Rfam family "Bacterial small subunit ribosomal RNA", at positions 28 to 507 of the family's 1533-position model. The record is from RNAcentral.
GAUGAGCGCUGGCGGCGCGCUUAACACAUGCAAGUCGAACGGGAAUUAUUUUAUUGAAACUUCGGUCGAUUUAAUUUAAUUCUAGUGGCGGACGGGUGAGUAACGCGUGGGUAACCUGCCUUAUACAGGGGGAUAACAGUCAGAAAUGGCUGCUAAUACCGCAUAAGCGCACAGAGCUGCAUGGCUCAGUGUGAAAAACUCCGGUGGUAUAAGAUGGACCCGCGUUGGAUUAGCUGGUUGGUGGGGUAACGGCCCACCAAGGCGACGAUCCAUAGCCGGCCUGAGAGGGUGAACGGCCACAUUGGGACUGAGACACGGCCCAGACUCCUACGGGAGGCAGCAGUGGGGAAUAUUGCACAAUGGGGGAAACCCUGAUGCAGCGACGCCGCGUGAAGGAAGAAGUAUCUCGGUAUGUAAACUUCUAUCAGCAGGGAAGAUAGUGACGGUACCUGACUAAGAAGCCCCGGCUAACUACGUG